CCUACGGGAGGCAGCAGUGGGGAAUUUUGGACAAUGGGGGCAACCCUGAUCCAGCCAUUCCGCGUGAGUGAAGAAGGCCUUCGGGUUGUAAAGCUCUUUCGCAAGGGAAGAAAACUUAUGAUCGAAUAAAUCAUGAGGUUGACGGUACCUUGAUAAGAAGCACCGGCUAACUACGUGCCAGCAGCCGCGGUAAUACGUAGGGUGCGAGCGUUAAUCGGAAUUACUGGGCGUAAAGCGUGCGCAGGCGGUUUUGUAAGUCGGAUGUGAAAUCCCCGGGCUCAACCUGGGAACUGCGUUCGAAACUGCAAGGCUGGAGUGUGUCAGAGGGGGGUAGAAUUCCACGUGUAGCAGUGAAAUGCGUAGAGAUGUGGAGGAAUACCAAUGGCGAAGGCAGCCCCCUGGGAUAACACUGACGCUCAUGCACGAAAGCGUGGGGAGCAAACAGGAUUAGAUACCCUGGUAGUCCACGCCCUAAACGAUGUCAACUAGUUGUUGGUAGAGUAAAAUCUAUGAGUAACGUAGCUAACGCGUGAAGUUGACCGCCUGGGGGAGGUACGGUCGCGAGAUAAACUACAAUAGAGUAGUAGCGUGAGACGUGCCGACGGACGACGACGAGGGAGGAGGG
RNAcentral lists this ribosomal RNA (625 nucleotides) under uncultured bacterium. Its description in RNAcentral is "bacterial SSU rRNA". It matches the Rfam family "Bacterial small subunit ribosomal RNA", at positions 338 to 1533 of the family's 1533-position model. The record is from RNAcentral.